RNAcentral lists this ribosomal RNA (414 nucleotides) under uncultured bacterium. RNAcentral describes it as "bacterial SSU rRNA". It matches the Rfam family "Bacterial small subunit ribosomal RNA", at positions 28 to 480 of the family's 1533-position model. The record is from RNAcentral.
GAUGAACGCUGGCGGUAUGCCUAACACAUGCAAGUCGUACGAGAGUUUUUAACUCUAGUGGCGGACGGGUGAGUAACACGUGAGAAUUUGCCUUUAGGAGGGGGAUAACAAUUGGAAACGAAUGCUAAUACCCCAUAUGCUUUUGAGUGAAAUGGAUUUUAUCCGCCUAGAGAGAAGCUCGCGGCUGAUUAGCUUGUUGGUAAGGUAAGAGCUUACCAAGGCGACGAUCAGUAUCUGGUUUGAGAGGACGAUCAGACACACUGGAACUGAGACACGGUCCAGACUCCUACGGGAGGCAGCAGUGGGAUUUACGUCAAUGGCGAAAGACCUGACGGAGCAAUACCGCGUGAGGGAAGGAAUGCCUAUGGGUUGGUAAACCUCUUUUUCUAGGAGGAAUAAAAUAGACGUGUACCU